RNAcentral lists this ribosomal RNA (1341 nucleotides) under uncultured bacterium. RNAcentral describes it as "partial 16S ribosomal RNA". It matches the Rfam family "Bacterial small subunit ribosomal RNA", at positions 28 to 1381 of the family's 1533-position model. The record is from RNAcentral.
GACGAACGCUGGCGGCGUGCUUAACACAUGCAAGUCGAACGGUAAGGCUCCAGCUUGCUGGGGUACACGAGUGGCGAACGGGUGAGUAACACGUGGGUGACCUGCCCUGCACUUCGGGAUAAGCCUGGGAAACUGGGUCUAAUACCGGAUAGGACCGCACCGUGAGGGUGUGGUGGAAAGUUUUUUCGGUGUGGGAUGGGCCCGCGGCCUAUCAGCUUGUUGGUGGGGUAAUGGCCUACCAAGGCGGCGACGGGUAGCCGGCCUGAGAGGGUGGACGGCCACAUUGGGACUGAGACACGGCCCAGACUCCUACGGGAGGCAGCAGUGGGGAAUAUUGCACAAUGGGCGGAAGCCUGAUGCAGCGACGCCGCGUGGGGGAUGACGGCCUUCGGGUUGUAAACUCCUUUCACCAUCGACGAAGGGUUUCUGACGGUAGAUGGAGAAGAAGCACCGGCUAACUACGUGCCAGCAGCCGCGGUAAUACGUAGGGUGCGAGCGUUGUCCGGAAUUACUGGGCGUAAAGAGCUCGUAGGUGGUUUGUCGCGUCGUCUGUGAAAUUCCGGGGCUUAACUCCGGGCGCGCAGGCGAUACGGGCAUAACUUGAGUACUGUAGGGGAGACUGGAAUUCCUGGUGUAGCGGUGAAAUGCGCAGAUAUCAGGAGGAACACCGGUGGCGAAGGCGGGUCUCUGGGCAGUAACUGACGCUGAGGAGCGAAAGCAUGGGGAGCGAACAGGAUUAGAUACCCUGGUAGUCCAUGCCGUAAACGGUGGGCGCUAGGUGUGGGUUUCCUUCCACGGGAUCCGUGCCGUAGCUAACGCAUUAAGCGCCCCGCCUGGGGAGUACGGCCGCAAGGCUAAAACUCAAAGGAAUUGACGGGGGCCCGCACAAGCGGCGGAGCAUGUGGAUUAAUUCGAUGCAACGCGAAGAACCUUACCUGGGCUUGACAUAUACAGGAUCGCGCCAGAGAUGGUGUUUCCCUUGUGGCUUGUAUACAGGUGGUGCAUGGUUGUCGUCAGCUCGUGUCGUGAGAUGUUGGGUUAAGUCCCGCAACGAGCGCAACCCUUGUCUUAUGUUGCCAGCACGUUGUGGUGGGGACUCGUAAGAAACUGCCGGGGUUAACUCGGAGGAAGGUGGGGAUGACGUCAAAUCAUCAUGCCCCUUAUGCCCAGGGCUUCACACAUGCUACAAUGGUCGGUACAGUGGGUUGCCAGUCCGUGAGGGCGAGCUAAUCCCGCAAAGCCGGUCUCAGUUCGGAUCGGGGUCUGCAACUCGACCCCGUGAAGUCGGAGUCGCUAGUAAUCGCAGAUCAGCAACGCUGCGGUGAAUACGUUCCCGGGCCU